AAGUCGUAACAAGGUUUCCGUAGGUGAACCUGCGGAAGGAUCAUUAAAUAAUUUAGAUGGCCUUUGCUAGUUUUCUAGCGAAUGGUUCAUUCUUUUUUACUGUGAACUGUUUUAAUUUUUCAGCGUCUGAGGAAUGUCUUUUAGCCAUAGGGAUAGGCUACUAGAAUGUUAACCGAGCUGAAAGUCAGGCUUAGGCCUGGUAUCCUAUUAAUUAUUUACCAAAAGAAUUCAGUAUUAUAAUUGUAACAUAAGCGUAAAAAACUUAUAAAACAACUUUUAACAACGGAUCUCUUGGUUCUCGCAUCGAUGAAGAACGUAGCAAAGUGCGAUAACUAGUGUGAAUUGCAUAUUCAGUGAAUCAUCGAGUCUUUGAACGCAACUUGCGCUCAAUGGUAUUCCAUUGAGCACGCCUGUUUCAGUAUCAAAAACACCCCACAUUCAUAAUUUUGUUGUGAAUGGAAAUGAGAGUUUCGGCUUUAUUGCUGAAUUCUUUAAAAUUAUUAGGCCUGAACUAUUGUUCUUUCUGCCUGAACAUUUUUUUAAUAUAAAGGAAUGCUCUAGUAAAAAGACUAUCUCUGGGGCCUCCACAAAUAAAUCAUUCUUAAAUUUGAUCUGAAAUCAGGCGGGAUUACCCGCUGAACUUAA
This 645-nucleotide unclassified non-coding RNA is filed under the name Mucor corticola. RNAcentral describes it as "sequence contains ITS1, 5.8S rRNA gene and ITS2". The stretch from base 272 to 424 matches the Rfam family "5.8S ribosomal RNA". The record is from RNAcentral. Lineage: Eukaryota; Fungi; Mucoromycota; Mucoromycetes; Mucorales; Mucoraceae.